RNAcentral lists this long non-coding RNA (825 nucleotides) under Homo sapiens (human). RNAcentral's name for it is "HSALNT0401883". The record is from RNAcentral. Lineage: Eukaryota; Metazoa; Chordata; Mammalia; Primates; Hominidae.
GUCGCUCCACAGCUGGCAGAUGAGCUGGCUGGGAAGAUACAAGGUGGCUGCACUCACUAUUGGGGGCCCUAGCUCGGAUGCCUGCCAGGCUGGGCUCAGCUGGGACUGCCUCCUACACGUGGCCUCUCCAGCAUGGUGACGUCACGGAAGCCUCAGACUCCUCACACAGAUGCUGGAUUCCCCGGAGGGAGUGUUUCCAGGGGUCCCCUGCAGAAUCAGCAAGCAACGCUUCUGACACCUGCCUCGGAAGGGCCAGAGCACCUCUGCUGUUGUGGUCCAUUGGCAAGCCAAUCACUAAGGCUGGCCUGUACUCAAAGGAAGAAUUAGAUCCCACCUCUCCAUGGGCCGCGCAGCAGAUAAUUCGGGGUCUUGGUUAAUCUACCAUGUUCUUUCUCUCCACUGCAGGGAAAUCUGAACUAACAAGAUUUUGAAUCACUCACCAAAUGGCGGUCUUCCUUUUAACUGAGUCUUAUCUCAUCCUACUACAAAAAUUUCCCAAGAAAAUGUGAAGAGUCUUGAUACGGAGCUCAGGCAGUCACGUGAGUGAAGGGGAGCGGCUGUAAACACAGAUGAAGCUUGGCUCACUCGCUCGCCAUUCACCUCCUGCUGUCCAGUCCAGUCCUGAACGACAGCCCUUUAAACAGAAGGACUCUGUUGUCUAGUUUUUUUACUGUUGUGUCCACAGCACCUAGAAUGACUCUUGGCACAUGGCAGGUGGUUCUGAUGCUAGCUCGAGUCUGAGAAGCUCUGGUUUACGAGAGAGGCCACCAAAGGCCUCUCUUCUGUCUUCCUCCAGCAUCUUCAUUGAACAGCCAGCUUCAAGCC